Molecule: unclassified non-coding RNA, 229 nt
Filed under: plant metagenome
Description: partial contains small subunit ribosomal RNA, internal transcribed spacer 1, and 5.8S ribosomal RNA
Source: RNAcentral
UCUCCGUAGGUGAACCUGCGGAGGGAUCAUUACAGAGUUCAUGCCCUACCGGGUAGAUAUCCCACCCUAUGUUAUUAUUACUUUGUUGCUUUGGCGGGCCGUUAGGCUCCGGCCCGACUACCGGCCCCGGCUGGUAAGCGCCCGCCAGAGGACCCAAAACCCUGAAUAUUAGUGUCGUCUGAGUACUAUAUAAUAGUUAAAACUUUCAACAACGGAUCUCUUGGUUCUG